AGAAACCUAAAAAAGGAAUUUGAAACAAAGGAUUAUAUUAAAUAACUUCAAGGCUCUGAUUUAGUCCCCAAAAGCCAAUAAGACAGUCAGUCUGUCCUUAACUCACCCUGUUUGCCUAGGUAUUUCAGGGCUCUCAAGCCUGACACUCAGUGAGUCUGAUCCUGCACGCCUUGCUCAAGCAAUGCUCCCAUUGAUUCCCUCUACAGUGCUGCCGGAGCAAGAAGUAUGGGAUAUGGCACCAGGUCUGCUGCACCACCAAUCAGAAGUGGAAGUCUAAUUGCAAUUCAUGUGAGCCCCAAGGAACGAAGAGUCUUCUCUGCUUUAAAAUUAGUAGCUGUGACUGCCAAAGUGACAUCCAGAAACGUUCUGAGGGGCAGCAAGAAAGCUUGGUGCACACAACAUAACCUGUCCUCUUUUGGAGCUUGAUCUGUGACCUUCAGGAUCAGUAACCAAAUCCUUGCAAGUCUUACUCACAUGAGAUAUCCUGUCUCAUACAGUUUUUCCUACUGAAGUCGAAUAGACUACUUAGAGUUUGCUAAGAAUUUGUUACUUGACAGACUACAGAACAGAAUGUUAUACUUUAUUUACUCCUGAAAAUGUCACACGUCAGCUCCUGCCCAGGCAGAAGUCAGCAAACAGGUCUGUCCUAAACAAAGGAAUGUGUGCUAAGCAGUAAACAGGAUCAUCAAGCAAGAAGGGAAAACAAAGGAAGUCAAACAGAUGGAAAAAAUCCAAUACGGAAUAUCCUUCCACACAGACUGUCUCCUGUUUCUCAGCUGGAAAUGUUUUUCAAGAGCGACAAUGAAACUAUAAAAAGGAGGAGCAAACACACCAAAGGACCCCUCUCUCUCUCUGCCAACCCAUUGCAUUCUAUGCACUUGAGAAGAUAAAGGAAACAGCCAUUGGACUCUGGGGAAGGGGUCCUGACCUGUAGAAAUUGGUCAGUAAUCUUGCUGGAAGCAUGUGGUGAGAAAUUUUGCUUGAAUCUGAUAUAGUUUAAGUUAGAUACUAGAACGCAUUUUUUCUUUAUUUUUCUUGUAACCGUUUCUGAUUCUUAUGCCUCAUUACUCAUA
Molecule: long non-coding RNA, 1073 nt
Organism: Mauremys mutica (yellowpond turtle)
Lineage: Eukaryota; Metazoa; Chordata; Testudines; Geoemydidae
Exons: 5
Source: RefSeq, a predicted model, not a curated record